Molecule: long non-coding RNA, 896 nt
Filed under: Sorghum bicolor (sorghum)
Lineage: Eukaryota; Viridiplantae; Streptophyta; Magnoliopsida; Poales; Poaceae
Description: long non-coding RNA (SBIC_LNC009564)
Source: RNAcentral
CGAGAUUCAACAUGCUACAAAUUACAAGCAAAUGCAAUAACAGGCUAACAGCAGCAUGAAUGCAUCAUUGCAGCAUGCUGCAAAUUACAAGCAACAAAGUAACUAGCAACACAAGAACGGAUAAGUCAUAAAAAAGACACAUGUGCUACAUCUAUUCUUGGUCAGUUCAUUAUGACCAAAAGGAUGCCCUUUGGCUUAGCAGGAUUGCAUGACGGAGGAGCCGCGAAGGCGUCGGGCUUCUUGCUCUUCCUCGUGUCCUCUGGAUCUAGCGCUUGCAAAACGCAUGCCUUUGGCAGUUUGGCGUCGAUGUGGUUGGGGGUAGGGAGGCGGCGGGCAGUGCGGUGUGGUCGCAUGGACACAACAUCACGAUGGGGAGCACAUGUGUGAGUCGCGCCGUCAUUUUUGGCGGCUGGGGUGUGGGCACGGGAGGGAGAGGAUAAGAAUGAGCUAGGGUGGAUCAACCAAUAUAUAGCAGUGUUCAGAUGGGUUUGGGCCAAAUAUGUAGGCUACAUGGGCUAAAUUCAGUAGGAGAGGUGGUGAAUUCUUGCGGGUAUUUCUUACCCACGGGUACACGGGUAUGGUAAUAUACACCCAUGCGCGUACCCAAUGGGUGAAGAAUUUUGCCCAAUAUACCCGUGGGUAGAAAAGUUUAUCCAUACCCGCCUUUUUAGCGGGUAAAAGCCAUCAGAUACUCAGAUUUCGGGUACCCAUUGCCAUCUUGCCACCUUCAAUAGGAGGAAGUUGAGCGUGGGACUCUAAACAUAUGACACGCUACCUUCAAUACAACACAUGGCUCUCUGAAACUCUGCUAUGCCAGUGACUUUGAUUACAAGAUAACACUGACUUUUUUAGCUAGAGAACAGUUUUCAUUAGCUUUUGUCCUUUAUAAACAUUAG